RNAcentral lists this ribosomal RNA (253 nucleotides) under uncultured bacterium. RNAcentral's name for it is "partial 16S ribosomal RNA". It matches the Rfam family "Bacterial small subunit ribosomal RNA", at positions 524 to 776 of the family's 1533-position model. The record is from RNAcentral.
UACGUAGGGACCGAGCGUUGUUCGGAUUUACUGGGCGUAAAGGGCGCGUAGGCGGCGCGGUAAGUCACUUGUGAAAUCUCUGAGCUUAACUCAGAACGGCCAAGUGAUACUGCAGUGCUAGAGUGUGGAAGGGGCAAUCGGAAUUCUUGGUGUAGCGGUGAAAUGCGUAGAUAUCAAGAGGAACACCUGAGGCGAAGGCGGGUUGCUAGGCUGACACUGACGCUGAGGCGCGAAAGCUAGGGUAGCAAACGGG